Molecule: ribosomal RNA, 785 nt
Filed under: uncultured organism
Description: bacterial SSU rRNA
Rfam family: Bacterial small subunit ribosomal RNA
Source: RNAcentral
CGGUAGAGGAGAGCGAAUUCUCGGUGUAGCGGUGAUAUGCGUAGAUAUCGAGAAGAACACCAGUGGCGUAGGCGGCUCUCUAGCCCCGAUACUGACACUGAUACACGAAAGCGUGGGUAGCGAACGGGAUUAGAUACCCCGGUAGUCCACGCCGUAAUCGAUGGGUACUAGGUGCAGGUGGUAUCGAUCCCUUCUGUGCCGAAGCAUACGCGUUAAGUACCCCGCCUGGGGAGUACGGCCGCAAGGCUAAAACUCAAAGGAAUAGACGGGGGCCCGCACAAGCGGUGGAGCAUGUGGUUUAAUACGACGCAACGCGUAGAACCUUACCAGGGCUUGACAUGCUGGUGGUACUGGCUCCGAAAGGAGACAGGACCCUUCGGGGAGCCAACACAGAUGUUGCACGGCUGUCGUCAGCUCGUGUCGUGAGAUGUUGGGUUAAGUCCCGCAACGAGCGCAACCCUUGUCCUUAGUUGCCAGCAGGUAAUGCUGGGGACUCUAAGGAGACUGCCUGUGAUAAGCAGGAGGAAGGUGAGGAUGACGUCAAGUCAUUGUGGCUCUUACGCCCUGGGCUACACACGUGCUACAAUGGUCGAUACAAUGGGUAGCAAUGCCGCGAGGUGGAGCCAAUCCCCAAAAGUCGGCCUCAGUUCGGAUUGGAGUCUGCAACUCGACUCCAUGAAGUCGGAAUCGCUAGUAAUGGCGCAUCAGCUACGGCGCCGUGAAUACGUUCCCGGGCAUUGUACUCACCGCCCGUCACAUCACCUGAGUUGAUUGCACCUGAAGUC